CUGCAACCUUCCGUUAAGCAUUUUCUUGUCACAAACUAUAAAAUCAUGUUUGUUGCUUUCAGUAAAUCAAUUACAAACUAAUUGGGGAAGUCAUAUCCUAAAACCAUAAAUGAAAAAAUUUUGGGCAUUUUAUUAGGACUUCAGAAAGAAGAAAGACCAAAAAAAGGAAGAAAGACUACUGAGAGACGAGCUCAUAGGAACUUACAAUGGAAAGAAUAUGGAUUUCAUUCAAUUGGAUGUACUGCUAAUAUACAAUACAACAAUUGCACAUACAUAUGGGGAAAACUGUGAAAGCAAAAGUUGCAAUUACCAAUGAUGACUUCAUCAUCAAUGCCUCUGCCGAGAGAAACUUGGGGAUCCCAUUGCU
Molecule: unclassified non-coding RNA, 367 nt
Filed under: Hevea brasiliensis (rubber tree)
Lineage: Eukaryota; Viridiplantae; Streptophyta; Magnoliopsida; Malpighiales; Euphorbiaceae
Source: RNAcentral